Molecule: long non-coding RNA, 374 nt
Organism: Gallus gallus (chicken)
Lineage: Eukaryota; Metazoa; Chordata; Aves; Galliformes; Phasianidae
Source: Ensembl
GUGCGGGGAAGCGGGGCGGCGCUGAGCUUCGGGAGCGAGGAGGAGGAGCGGGAAGCUGGGAAUGGCAAACCAAGUAAUGAUGGAUUGGAGAGUGAUGAAAAGAUGAAGCUUCUGAAAAUGUGUGAGCAUCGAAGCGUAGGCCAGGUGCUACAUUUUGAACGUCGGGGUCUGCUGCUGACCUUAAGUUACUGGGAGCUCUGAAACCGUUCCAGUUGCAUUGGUGCCUUGACUCAUCACUGUUUAGGCACAGCCCCAGUGAGACUUGGAUGCAGUCACAAACAGCUGGUCACCACGAAGGCAUGCCGAGUGAUGAAGAACUGGCUCUGACAGAGGUGACUGAAUUCCAGAAGAGCAAAGGUUGGUCAGGAUAUGAG